RNAcentral lists this ribosomal RNA (912 nucleotides) under uncultured crenarchaeote. Its description in RNAcentral is "SSU rRNA". It matches the Rfam family "Archaeal small subunit ribosomal RNA", at positions 1 to 922 of the family's 1478-position model. The record is from RNAcentral. Lineage: Archaea; Thermoproteati; Thermoproteota.
UUCUGGUUGAUCCUGCCAGACCUGACUGCUAUCGGAUUGAUACUAAGCCAUGCGAUCUUUGUAGUAAUACAAGGCAUACGGCUCAGUAACACGUAGUCAAUCUACCCUAUGGACGGGGAUAACCUCGGGAAACUGAGAAUAAUACCCGAUAGAUCAUUAUGCCUGGAAUGGUUUAUGAUCCAAAUGAAUUUCGCCAUAGGAUGGGACUGCGGUCUAUCAGCUUGUUGGUGAGGUAAUGGCCCACCAAGGCUAUAACAGAUACGGGCUCUGAGAGGAGAGGCCCGGAGAUGGGUACUGAGACACGGACCCAGGUCCUAUGGGGCGCAGCAGGCGAGAAAACUUUGCAAUGUGCGAAAGCACGACAAGGUUAAUCCGAGUGUUUCCUGCUAAAGGAAUCUUUUAUCAGUCAUAACACCACUGAUGAAUAAGGGGUGGGCAGGUUCUGGUGUCAGCCGCCGCGGUAAAACCAGCACCUCAAGUGGUCAGGAGGAUUAUUGGGCCUAAAGCAUCCGUAGCCGGCUUUGUAAGUUUUCGGUUAAAUCCAUAUGCUCAACAUAUGGGCUGCCGGGAAUACUGCACAGCUAGGGAGUGGGAGAGGUAGACGGUACUCCAUAGGAAGGGGUAAAAUCCUUUGAUCUAUGGAAGACCACCUGUGGCGAAGGCGGUCUACCAGAACACGUUCGACGGUGAGGGAUGAAAGCUGGGGGAGCAAACCGGAUUAGAUACCCGGGUAGUCCCAGCUGUAAACUAUGCAAACUCAGUGAUGCAUUGGCUUGUGGCCAGUGCAGUGCCGCAGGGAAGCCGUUAAGUUUGCCGCCUGGGAAGUACGUACGCAAGUAUGAAACUUAAAGGAAUUGGCGGGGGAGCACCACAAGGGGUGAAGCCUGCGGUUCAAUUGGAAUCAACGCCGGG